Chelonia mydas (Green sea turtle) is the source of this 1741-nucleotide long non-coding RNA. RefSeq lists it as uncharacterized. The record is from RefSeq and is a predicted model, not a curated record. Lineage: Eukaryota; Metazoa; Chordata; Testudines; Cheloniidae. The transcript is spliced from 2 exons.
GUAUGUGAGAUAGCAGGAGGCUGGGCAGUGUAUGCUAGAAUGAGGAAACACCAUGCAGAAAGGAGAACAAGACUCAGUGAUUGGGAUCUUGAUUUUUUGCUUUGGCUAUAGUCCUCUCCCUUGAGGAAAAACUCAUGGGUCUGAUCUUCUACCUUACCACUGUGCAUGGAUGGGUGUUACAUUUAGUGCAUCUGGAUAAGAAGCAGAGAAGUUGAGGAGCAGUGGCUCUGAGGUAUGCUUGCCUUUUCCACAAUCCCACUGAAGUGCCUCUGAAAGUACACCACAGAGCUUGGCCUCUGCUGAUCAGACUCUCUUCUCAGGUCAGAGCAUGAACAGGUGGCAACUGUCAAAUACUUGGGACGUGUCCUAGACUUUGCUGGAAGAUGCUCAAAAGAUGUGGAUGCUUGUGUAGCAGCUGCCUCUGCCACGUUCCAGGGUCUUCAGCAGCUUCUGUGGAGACAUUGGGACAUCACACUUUCUAUGUAUCUGCGGAUUCUCAGAACUAUGGUUAUAUCAAUUCUGUGGUAUAGCAGUGACAUAUAGGCACCAAGGAAGGUUGAAGAGCAGCGGACUGAUAUUUUUGAUGCUCGUCAUCAUCAGCUCGUCAUCAUCAGCUGCUCCAUAUUAAGUGGCAGGAAAAGAUAAGCAAUAAGGAUAUUCGUAGCCAAACCCACCAAGUAUCCCCAUCAGCACUGGUUUCCUUUGGCAGCUUUCUGGGUAUGGACAUAUUGUUAGGAUGACAGACAACUGAAUUACGAAGUGUAUUUUCAAAAGAAUGCCACCACAGGUUUAGUGAUCACCAAAAGCUUCCGUAGUGCAAUAAAAUCACCAAUGAUGGAGAUAGACUGACCAUCGAGCCAGACCAUCUUAAGGAGCUAACUAGAGAUCAAUCAAAGUAGUGCUCAAUCUGCAAGGAGGCCACUCCAUUUGGGAUCAGUCUUGACACUAAUGAUGGUCAGCAGGGCAUGUAGGGCAAUGCUGCUGUCCAUAGUACGGUUCCCUCACAAACUUUAGUAUCACAUUCUUUCUUAAUGUUGUUUUCAUUUAGUUCCUGUGUUUAUACCAAUUUAGGUAGCCUUAUAUGGUCAUAUGGAUACAAUGUGGCCUAGGAGUUAGAGCUGGUGACUGGAAAUCAGUAUUUUAUUCUGGGUUUUAGUUUCAGCUUUGCGACUUGCAGUGUCCCAGGGUUAAGGCUACAAUUCUGUCACUGGUAUUUUUAGUAAAAGUCACGGACAGGUCACGGGCACUAAACAAAAAUUAAUGGAAGCCUGUGACCUGUCUCUGACUCUUACUAAAAAUUCCCUGGGGGAGGGGAGAGUGGAACAAACAGAGCACUCUUAGGGCUUGCAGCUGCUCUAGCGCCACCGCCACUCCUGCGGCAGGAGUUGACUACUGCCGCUUCAGCCCUGCGGCUGGCCGCUGGUCAGCUGUUCCAGCAGCUAGCCCUGGGAGCCUUGGGAACAGCUGAUCGGCCAUUGCUGCUCCAGCAGCCCCAGGGCCUGACAGCUGCUGCAGUCCUGCCCAGAAGAAGUCAUGGAGUUCCUGGAAAAUCACGGAAUCUGUAACCAAAUUGUAGCCUUACCCAUGGUACAUCACUGAACCUCUCUACCCUUCUGUACAAGGGGGAUAAUAGUAUCAAUACAUAGAGCUGUCCCGAGGCUUAAGUGAUUAAUGUAUUUUAAAUACUUAGAAAUUCUUAAAUGAAAAGUAUGCUCUAAAUAUAUUUUAUUAUUACCUUCAA